This 478-nucleotide ribosomal RNA is filed under the name uncultured Planctomycetales bacterium. RNAcentral's name for it is "bacterial SSU rRNA". It matches the Rfam family "Bacterial small subunit ribosomal RNA", at positions 364 to 832 of the family's 1533-position model. Lineage: Bacteria; Pseudomonadati; Planctomycetota; Planctomycetia; Planctomycetales. The record is from RNAcentral.
UUUCGCAAUGCCCGAAAGGGUGACGAAGCGACGCCGCGUGUGGGAAGAAGGCCUUCGGGUUGUAAACCACUGUCGGGAGUUAAGAAAUGCAAGGAUAUUAAUAGUGUCUUUGUUUGACUAAGGCUCCGGAGGAAGCCACGGCUAACUCUGUGCCAGCAGCCGCGGUAAUACAGAGGCGGCAAGCGUUGUUCGGAAUUAUUGGGCGUAAAGAGCACGUAGGCGGCUAUGUAAGUCGGUUGUGAAAGCCUUCCGCUCAACGGAUGAACAGCAUCCGAUACUACAUGGCUUGAGUGCGGGAGGGGAGAGUGGAACUUCUGGUGGAGCGGUGAAAUGCGUAGAUAUCAGAAGGAACGCCGGCGGCGAAAGCGGCUCUCUGGCCCAUAACUGACGCUGAGUGUGCGAAAGCUAGGGGAGCAAACGGGAUUAGAUACCCCGGUAGUCCUAGCCGUAAGCGAUGGGCACUAAGUAGAGGGGUUUU